GAAGGUAUAGCUCAGCAGUAGAGUGUGUGCUUAGUACGCAUGAGAUCCUGGUUUCAAGCCCCAGAACCUCCA
Molecule: transfer RNA, 72 nt
Filed under: Camelus bactrianus (Bactrian camel)
Lineage: Eukaryota; Metazoa; Chordata; Mammalia; Artiodactyla; Camelidae
Also listed under: 1 other name
Rfam family: tRNA
About the family: Transfer RNA (tRNA) molecules are approximately 80 nucleotides in length.
Source: Rfam by way of RNAcentral